RNA transcript from Jaculus jaculus (lesser Egyptian jerboa), 2269 nucleotides. It is a transcript of the gene named ATP binding cassette subfamily D member 4, with no coding region annotated. NCBI's taxonomy places the organism in Eukaryota, Metazoa, Chordata, Mammalia, Rodentia, Dipodidae. The record is from RefSeq and is a predicted model, not a curated record. The transcript is spliced from 19 exons.
CAGGCUGUGAGUUUUCACUUGGAAAUGUUGCAUGGUGCCACCGUGGAUGCAGACGGGUCUCCCGGUUUCACUUGCUCAUUUUCCUACUGAUGGAUGCCUACGUUACUUCCGGCCCAGGUUAGAUCUGCAGUUUGUCUACCGGUUCAUGAAGAUACAGAAGAUCUUGUUUCCUUCUUGGUCAUCACGGAACGUCUUGAUGUUCCUGACUCUCUUGUGUGUGGCCCUUAUGGAGCAACUGGUGAUCUACCAAGUUGGCUUGAUCCCCAGUCAGUACUAUGGGGUCCUUGGAAACAAAGACCUGGAUGGGUUUAAGGCGCUGACCUUCCUGGCUGUGGUUCUCAUCGUUCUCAACUCCACACUGAAGAGCUUUGACCAGUUCACCUGCAACCUGCUGUACGUGAGCUGGAGACAGGACCUCACUGAGCACCUGCACCGCCUCUACUUCCGAGCCCGGGUGUACUACACUCUCAACGUGUUGCGAGAUGACAUCGACAACCCGGAUCAACGGAUGAGCCAGGACGUGGAGCGAUUCUGCCGGCAGCUCAGCAGCAUGGCCAGCAGGCUGAUGGUCUCCCCCUUCACCCUCAGCUACUACACAUACCAGUGUUUCCAGAGCACAGGCUGGCUUGGACCUGUGAGCAUCUUUGGCUAUUUCAUCCUGGGAACCGUAGUGAACAGAACUCUGAUGGGGCCCAUCGUAGCGAAGCUGGUGCAGCAGGAGAAACUGGAAGGAGAUUUCAGGUUCAAGCACAUGCAGAUUCGAGUGAAUGCUGAGCCUGCUGCUUUCUACAGAGCUGGACAUGUGGAGCACAUGAGGACAGACCGAAGGCUGCAGAGACUCCUUCAGACCCAGAAGGAGCUGAUGUCCAAGGAGCUCUGGCUGUACAUUGGUAUCAACACUUUUGAUUAUCUGGGCAGCAUCCUGAGUUAUGUUGUCAUCGCAAUCCCUAUUUUCAGUGGGGUGUAUGGAGACCUGAGCCCCACAGAGCUUAGCACCCUGGUCAGCAAGAACGCCUUCAUGUGCAUCUACCUCAUCAACUGCUUCACUCAGCUCAUCGACCUCUCCACCACACUCUCUGACGUGGCAGGUUACACGCACAGGAUUGGAGAGCUUCAGGAGGCCCUGCUAGACCUGUCCCAGAAAUCACAAGACUAUGAAACCCUGGGCGAGAGUGAGUGGGACUUGGACAAAGCCCCAGGGUGGCCGGCAGCAGAGGCCGCAGACACCGCUUUUCUGCUCGAGCGGGCCUCCAUCUCGGCCCCCGCUUCCGACAAGCCCCUCAUCAAGGACCUGACUCUGAAGAUCUGCGAGGGGCAGAGCCUGCUUAUCACAGGCAACACGGGCACCGGCAAGACCUCCUUGCUGCGGGUCCUGGGCGGCCUGUGGGCAAGCACGAAGGGUUCAGUGCAGAUGCUGGCUGACUUUGGGCCUCACGGGGUGCUGUUCCUGCCACAGAAGCCAUUCUUCACUGACGGGACCCUUCGGGAGCAGGUGAUAUAUCCCCUGAAGGAGAUCUACCCGGAUUCAGGUUCUACUGAUGACGAGAGGAUCAUGAGGUUCUUAGAAUUAGCAGGCCUGAAACGUUCCUGUGGUGGGGACCGAGGAUGGCAGGAGACACAGAUGGGCACGUUCAUGGACUCUGUCAUCUGGGUCUGUUACAGUCCAGCUUGGUGGCAAGGACAGAAGGUCUGGACCAGCAGGUGGAUUGGAACUGGUACGACGUUCUGUCCCCAGGGGAGAUGCAAAGGUUAUCCUUCGCCCGCCUCUUCUACUUGCAGCCCAAGUAUGCAGUGCUUGACGAAGCCACCAGCGCCCUGACAGAGGAGGCAGAGAGUGAGCUGUACCGCCUUGGCCAGCAGCUGGGCAUGACGUUCAUCAGUGUGGGACACCGGGCCAACCUCGAGAAGUUUCACUCCUGGCUUCUGAAACUCUGUGGAGGAGGAAGGUGGGAGCUGACUAGAACCAAAAUGGAAUGAAGCCAGGUGCACAGAAGGCCCUCAGGACAGCCAAGCCGCCAGCAGGAAGGAGCCCAGGUUCACCCAGGGCCUGGGCAAGGACCCCGGCGGCAGUGGGCCCCAUCUCUCCUGCACUGCUGCCGUGGCUCCACGUGCUGUGAGAGCGCUGACUCUUCUGAACUAUGAUGGAAUUUGCUUCAGAAUAAAGGGUGUGAACCAUAAGAAAUGAAGAGUCAGGGUAGAAGGGCAUUGGUGCCAAGAGAGCCUAUUACAUUUUGUAGCAAUAGACUUUUAACUUUAAUUAACUGACCAU